Long non-coding RNA from Antechinus flavipes (yellow-footed antechinus), 1367 nucleotides. RefSeq lists it as uncharacterized. The record is from RefSeq and is a predicted model, not a curated record. The transcript is spliced from 3 exons. NCBI's taxonomy places the organism in Eukaryota, Metazoa, Chordata, Mammalia, Dasyuromorphia, Dasyuridae.
ACCUCCAUAGUUUAUAGCUAAUAACUGUUUCUAAGUAGAAUGGACUGCCCUAAAGUACUGAGGGACCAUGACCUGCAGUCAAUUUAGGCCCAGUCAAUUUGCCAAGUACCCAAGAUGCCUGGUCUAUCUUCAUUGGAUUUGAACCAUGGUGAUAUUAGAAUCUGGAUUGUAGAAGAUUGCAGACAGGAUGCUGAAGCCAAACCAGCCUGGCAGGAAAGAUGCUUGCAGUCACCCAGUGACAUCACACAGCUGCCUGAGGCACAAGAAGGUGCUCUGCUGCUGAAAGGAACAGCAAAAUUCAUGUCCAAAUAUCUCCAUGGUAACAGCAGAGCAUGCCAAGAUAUUGAACCAUGUGGAAGACAAAAGUACAUUUUGCUAAAAGUCUCCAUAACAACAGUGGAGCAUUGAAGGAAAGGAGAGCCCAAGCAGGGGAGGCAUUUAUCAAGUCAGAGGUUGUAGUGUUCUGUUUUCAAAAGCUCUUCCACACCUGACAUAUUGACCAACUUUGAUUAGAAAAGAACACUAUGGUAAAUCUACAUGAGAAUGUUGAUGUAAAUCAUGGUUUCAUUAUACUAGCCAAAACAUUCUAUUGGAAAGGUGGCUUUAAAAAUACCCUUUAGGAAAACAGCAUUCAUUUUUUUAAAUGCUAACAAUAUCAAUAAGAGAAGAACAAUAAAUAGAAGGAAUAAGAGUAAGGAAUGAGAUAGGAAAAUAUCUUUUUUUUGCAGAUGAUAUUAUAAUAAACUUGGAAAAUCCCAAAUAUAAUUCUCAAACUUAGUUGAAACAAUUAAUAAUUUUAGCAAAAUAGCAGAAUAUAAAAUAAAUCCACAUAAAAAUGCAAUGCAAUUUAACAAGUAUUUGUUAAGCAUUUACUAUGUGUCGGACAUUAUCUGGGGUAGUAGGAAUAUAAUCAAAGGUUAAAAAAAAAGUCACUGCUUUCAAGAAGCCUGCAUUGUCCUCAAGAUAGAAAAGAAAUUAGUAAAUUUUCAUCUAACAUAAAACCAAUCUAAUCCCAACAUAGAAUUCCAAAAAUAAAAAUGUUCAGCAAAAUAAUUCUAUUCAUGCAAAGCCUUAUUAAGCAUCUACUAUAUACAAUCCAACAUUUAAAUAAGCCAAACUAUGAAUCUCACUCCUUUGAAUUUGGAAUCAAAAGAUCUGGAUUGGAAUCCUAACUCUGAUUUUAUUAGGUUGAAAAGCUUAUAGCUGUGAGCAAGUUGUUUUCAUCCUCUGGGUUUGUUUCUUUAUCUCCAAAGAAAGAACACUGGGCUACUUACCCUUAAUAUAUCUUCCAGUUCUAAAUCCUACUUUAUGAUGUUGAUUUAUAUUUAAACUUCAAUAUUACAAUAAAACAUCAAAAGUUAAUUGAA